Molecule: ribosomal RNA, 125 nt
Filed under: Sphenodon punctatus (tuatara)
Lineage: Eukaryota; Metazoa; Chordata; Lepidosauria; Sphenodontia; Sphenodontidae
Source: RNAcentral
GCUUAUGGUCACGCCACCCUGAGCACAGUCACACCUGAUCUCGUCUGAUUUGGGGAAUUAAACAAGUUUGGGUCUGGUUAGUAUCUGGAUGGGAGACUGCCUGGGAAUACCGGGUGCUGUAGGCU